CAGCGAAAGAGGGCUUUGGCUAUCAUUACUUUUCAUCCUUGAAGUCUCCAGCAAAGUCUCAUUCCCCUGCAGGCCUUGCCCCUUCCAUUUCCUUCUCACCUGUCCUCUUUUUCACCCUCUUCUCUUUGCUCUUCAUGCUUGCUGUCCCCCAGGACUCUGAGGAGGAAGUCCAGUAGGGUCAAAGGCUUCUCACCAGGCCUCUCACCAGCCCCUCAUCUGGCCCUGUACACCUGUAACACCCCUGAAUCCUCCUCAGGGUACUUCUCUGAGGAUGACUCUGCAGGGCACUCCGUUAUCCACCAGCCUGGCUCUGCAUCCACCUCCAAUAAUGGUGCCUCCCAAGUUGGCAUCUUUAACUGGAUGGCAAUAUACAUUUCAGGUUGGCUCUUUGCAGCAUUCCAGUGGUGCCUGGGAAACGCCUGGCACUGCCUGACCACAGCUGCCUCCCUCCAGGAUUUCUUUCUGUUAAUCAGGUGCUUGGUGUUUCUACCCCUAUGGACUACAGACCUUCCACCCUGCUAUGCUCUCCUGGUGGACAGCCCGUGGUAGCAGCAGGAGAGAGGACAGGUGGGAACCAGCACAGUCCCCCUCAUAUUUCCAGGUGAGCUUACCUGGUCUGUGCUGGCUCCUUCUGGCGCCUGCAGCUCAGUGAAGCACAGUU
This 661-nucleotide long non-coding RNA is filed under the name Vombatus ursinus (common wombat). RNAcentral describes it as "lncRNA (ENSVURG00010017633.1)". Lineage: Eukaryota; Metazoa; Chordata; Mammalia; Diprotodontia; Vombatidae. The record is from RNAcentral.